RNAcentral lists this ribosomal RNA (456 nucleotides) under uncultured bacterium. RNAcentral's name for it is "bacterial SSU rRNA". It matches the Rfam family "Bacterial small subunit ribosomal RNA", at positions 66 to 524 of the family's 1533-position model. The record is from RNAcentral.
ACGGUAACAGGUUAAGCUGACGAGUGGCGAACGGGUGAGUAAUAUAUCGGAACGUGCCCAGUAGUGGGGGAUAGCCCGGCGAAAGCCGGAUUAAUACCGCAUACGACCUACGGGUGAAAGGGGGGGAUCGCAAGACCUCUCGCUAUUGGAGCGGCCGAUAUCAGAUUAGCUAGUUGGUGGGGUAAAAGCUCACCAAGGCGACGAUCUGUAGCUGGUCUGAGAGGACGACCAGCCACACUGGGACUGAGACACGGCCCAGACUCCUACGGGAGGCAGCAGUGGGGAAUUUUGGACAAUGGACGCAAGUCUGAUCCAGCCAUGCCGCGUGCGGGAAGAAGGCCUUCGGGUUGUAAACCGCUUUUGUCAGGGAAGAAAAGCUCCGAACUAAUAUUUUGGGGUGAUGACGGUACCUGAAGAAUAAGCACCGGCUAACUACGUGCCAGCAGCCGCGGUAAU